GUCAGGUCAACGUGCAUUACUCGUAGACACUGUUGUUUUGUGAACCUGUACUCUAAUCAUGGAGGUAAAUCCUGAUUUACAGAUGGAGAGAGAUGGCGCUACUUUUGACCCAAUAGAACUGACUUACAUUAAAGAUGGCGGUGCCAAGGUUACACAACGAAGACGUUAUAUAGAAUCUUUGGUGUGCGACGAUCCCGAUUUUCAACAGGAGGAUCCUAACUUCCUAUCGAGAGAUGAGUUAUACACAUCAGCUGUCAGAAGAGGUGUGAUGAUAGAAAAGAAAAUAUUACAGUUGAAUAUUACGGAUGCAAAAGAGCAGUACUGGUUUAGAGAUGCAGCUAUACGUAAAAGACAAGGAACAGCAAUCGCACUUAAUAACAUAAUGUUUGUUCCAACCCUUAUUGGCCAAGCGUCAGAGGAACAAAAAAGAAAAUGGCUACCUUUAGCAACAAAUCUUCACAUUAUUGGAACAUUUGCUCAGACAGAAUUGGGACAUGGGACUUUCGUCAGAGGGCUUGAGACAACAUCAACAUAUGAUCCAAAGGCACAGGAAUUCGUUGUUCAUAGUCCUACACUAACAUCUACAAAGUUCUGGCCAGGAAACUUGGGUAAAACAGUAACACAUGCAAUCGUGAUGGCGCAGUUAAUUACCAAUGGUAAACAUUAUGGAGUACACCCAUUUAUUGUUCCACUGAGAAGCCUGGAAAAUCACAUGCCACUACCAGGAGUGACUGUUGGUGAUAUUGGACCAAAGAUGGGUUUUAAUAGCAACGAUAAUGGGUUUCUGAGACUAGAACAUGUUCGCAUUCCAAGAGACAAUAUGUUAAUGAAGCACGCACAGGUGUUGGCGGAUGGUACAUAUGUCAAACCACCAACAAAUAAGCUGGUAUACGGUACACUCGUUUAUGCCAGGGUCGGGUAUCUGUCUGCUUGUACUGAUUUUCUAGCAAUGGCGUGCACCAUUGUCACUAGAUACAGCGCUGUGCGCAGACAGAGUGAGAUGCAACCAGGAGCCAGAGAGGCUCAAAUUCUUGACUACCAAUCUCAGCAAUUGAAGAUAUUACCCUACAUUGCCACCACGUACGCAUUUUAUGCAGUUCAACGACGUGUCAGCGGAAUGGUACGACAGACUUCAACAGCAAAUGGCAACCGGAAACUACAGCCUCCUACAAAAAUGCCAUGCCGUGACUGCUGGACUCAAAGGAUUUGUUUCUUAUGCAAUGAACUCUGGUAUAGAAACAUGUCGUUUAGCAUGCGGCGGACAUGGAUACUCGCAUGCAAGUGGGAUACCAGAGUUGUAUACGUAUUCAACUCAUCUAAUUACAGCGGAAGGAGAGAAUACUGUAAUGCUUUUACAAACUGCGAGGUAUUUAAUAAAGUGCGCAGGAAGUGCAUUGUCCGGCGAUGUAAUGUCUGGACAAGUUCCAUACUUGAAUGAACCCAUAAAAGAGAAAUGUGCGAUAAAGAGUGAAUCAGAUCUGUUGAAGUUAGAUAUAUUGGUCGACAUAUAUAAACACAGAGCUCAGAGAUUAGUGAUGGAGGCAGCUAAAAAGUUACACCGUGAUAUUUCUGAGGGCCAAUCCCAGCACAAUGCAUGGAAUAAUUGCCAUCUUCAACUUCUCAAUGCAGCAAUGGCUCAUUGUCACUACAUUACCGUGAGUGCAUUUGUUGGUAGCGUUAAAGACACAAAGAUGAGCGACUCGCUGAAACUAGUCCUAACAUCGUUAUGUCAGCUAUACGCGCUGUAUGGCAUUUAUCAAGAUUCCAGAGACUUCAUGAUGGAUGGUUACCUCUCUGGACAUAACAUCACCUCUAUCACACACCACAUCACGUCAAUGCUGGCAACUCUUCGCCCCAAUGCUGUUGCCUUAGUAGAUGCGUUUGACAUCCGUGAUGAGAUACUGUGUUCGAUCCUAGGACGGUACGAUGGCAAUGUAUAUGAGAAUAUGUAUAAAUGGGCCAAGAAAUCGCCACUCAACAAAGACGAGGUCCACGACUCCUACUACAAGUAUUUGAGACCAUUUUUACGUAGCCAGACUUCAAAAUUAUAAAAUCAACGCACACCCAGAUUCUUUUCAAUAUUCUCAAUAUUGUCAAGAUUCUUUUUCUUCAUCUAAAGGUUGUAUGGGUUUCCGGUUUAUAUUCUACGAGAUAUGUUAAAAGGAUGGUACGAUGAUCCAGUUUGUUAACUUACUUAUCUGCAUUAAAUGUUAACAAUUGUAGACCAAAUAUGACCAGAUACAAGAAAUGGCAAGCAAAUAUUAGCCGCUUAUUAUCACAUCCGUGAUCUGAUGAUCAUAGCAGAAUCCUUUGGAUAGUAUUAUUGCCGAACAUUAUUAGAUUUGUGCUAUUUGCGUAUUGCUCUCCGAC
Non-coding RNA from Saccoglossus kowalevskii, 2370 nucleotides. NCBI's taxonomy places the organism in Eukaryota, Metazoa, Hemichordata, Enteropneusta, Harrimaniidae. The record is from RefSeq and is a predicted model, not a curated record.